CUCACUCACACACACUCACUCACACACACACACACACACACACACACACACACACACACACACACACACACACACACACACGUACGUCAUAAUGUUUAUAAUGUUGCUAUACAUAUCAUUAUAACAUAUGUUGAUAUAAUGACAUGUACCGUCAGAUGGCGAUAGUGAGCCGACUCCGGCGUUCACUUUCCUAUGAACAAGUCACACGACGGGGGCACGGUGGCUUAGUGGGUAGCACGUUCGCCUCACACCUCCAGGUGGAGCUCUUCAGAUCUUGAUGUUGCCCCUAACUAGAUUCUACCUGCAUCUUCAAUUUACAAUAGGCCUCCAGAGGGAGCUCUUAACUGAAGUCUUCUCUUUGCUGAUGAUCUGCUGCUCUGUAGAGCUCAGCUGAGCCAGAACACUUUCCCUCCUAUUCUCAUCUGAAGAUGGCUGCAGGUUCUGGAAGUGGUUCAGCAGUUUUCU
This is a long non-coding RNA of Tachysurus fulvidraco (yellow catfish), 465 nucleotides long. RefSeq lists it as uncharacterized. The record is from RefSeq and is a predicted model, not a curated record. Lineage: Eukaryota; Metazoa; Chordata; Actinopteri; Siluriformes; Bagridae. The transcript is spliced from 3 exons.